Molecule: ribosomal RNA, 484 nt
Filed under: uncultured bacterium
Lineage: Bacteria
Description: partial 16S ribosomal RNA
Rfam family: Bacterial small subunit ribosomal RNA
Source: RNAcentral
AUUGAACGCUGGCGGCAGGCCUAACACAUGCAAGUCGAGCGGAUGAAGGGAGCUUGCUCCUGGAUUCAGCGGCGGACGGGUGAGUAAUGCCUAGGAAUCUGCCUGGUAGUGGGGGAUAACGUCCGGAAACGGGCGCUAAUACCGCAUACGUCCUGAGGGAGAAAGUGGGGGAUCUUCGGACCUCACGCUAUCAGAUGAGCCUAGGUCGGAUUAGCUAGUUGGUGGGGUAAAGGCCUACCAAGGCGACGAUCCGUAACUGGUCUGAGAGGAUGAUCAGUCACACUGGAACUGAGGCACGGUCCAGACUCCUACGGGAGGCAGCAGUGGGGAAUAUUGGGCGAUGGGCGAAAGCCUGAUCCAGCCAUGCCGCGUGUGUGAAGAAGGUCUUCGGAUUGUAAAGCACUUUAAGUUGGGAGGAAGGGCAGUAAGUUAAUACCUUGCUGUUUUGACGUUACCAACAGAAUAAGCACCGGCUAACUUCGUG